AAAAUUACAGAAUGAGAUCACUUUUUUUCAUCAGCUGGAAGAUGAAAGCUUGUAUGAGGCUUGGGAAAGAUUUAAGGAGUUGCUCAAGAGAUGUUCUCUUCAUGGCAU
This 108-nucleotide small nucleolar RNA is filed under the name Citrus x clementina. Its description in RNAcentral is "Citrus clementina snRNA snoR71". The record is from RNAcentral. Lineage: Eukaryota; Viridiplantae; Streptophyta; Magnoliopsida; Sapindales; Rutaceae.